RNAcentral lists this transfer RNA (84 nucleotides) under Alkalihalobacterium chitinilyticum. RNAcentral describes it as "tRNA-OTHER". It matches the Rfam family "tRNA". From Rfam's summary of the family: Transfer RNA (tRNA) molecules are approximately 80 nucleotides in length. Their secondary structure includes four short double-helical elements and three loops (D, anti-codon, and T loops). Further hydrogen bonds mediate the characteristic L-shaped molecular structure. tRNAs have two regions of fundamental functional importance: the anti-codon, which is responsible for specific mRNA codon recognition, and the 3' end, to which the tRNAs corresponding amino acid is attached (by aminoacyl-tRNA synthetases). tRNAs cope with the degeneracy of the genetic code in two manners: having more than one tRNA (with a specific anti-codon) for a particular amino acid; and 'wobble' base-pairing, i.e. permitting non-standard base-pairing at the 3rd anti-codon position. The record is from RNAcentral. Lineage: Bacteria; Bacillati; Bacillota; Bacilli; Caryophanales; Bacillaceae.
GGAUUUGUAGCUCAAUGGUAGAGCGGCCAGUCAUUCCGAACUGAAUAACUGAGCAUUUAGUGGGUUCGAUUCCCACCAAAUCCA